Non-coding RNA from Erinaceus europaeus (western European hedgehog), 137 nucleotides. The record is from Rfam. Lineage: Eukaryota; Metazoa; Chordata; Mammalia; Eulipotyphla; Erinaceidae.
AAGCUCCACGGGCUCCUCUGGUUCGAUAAAAUUUUUGACAAUUUUUUUCAGUAAUCUUUUUCGGUCGAGUCCGAGCGACUCUGUGCCCUCAGACAGGUUAUAACGUUCCUCCCGCUAGAUGGAUGAGAUCAGGCAUC